This 255-nucleotide unclassified non-coding RNA is filed under the name uncultured fungus. Its description in RNAcentral is "partial contains 5.8S ribosomal RNA, internal transcribed spacer 2, and large subunit ribosomal RNA". The record is from RNAcentral. RNAcentral also lists the same sequence under 1 other name. Lineage: Eukaryota; Fungi.
AACGCACAUUGCGCCCCUUGGUAUUCCGGGGGGCAUGCCUGUUCGAGCGUCAUUGCAACCCUCAAGCUAUGCUUGGUAUUGGGCGUCCGCGGCCUCCCCCGGGGGGCGGCGCGCCCGUAAGUUAGUGGCGGUCCAGGGAGACUUCAAGCGCAGUAGAACCUUUCGCUUUCGAGGUGUCGCCUGCGGCCCGGCCGUAAAACCCCCCAUCUUUCAAUGAUUGACCUCGGAUCAGGUAGGGAUACCCGCUGAACUUAA